GAGGCAUACCGGACGGUCGCCGUGACGUUGAUUGCGUCUCGGAGGAAAGUCCGAACACCAAAGGGCAGCGAGCCGGAUAACGUCCGGGCAUCUUGGCCGUUCAGGCGGUUCUAGAUGACGACAAGUGCAGCAGAGAACAGGCCAGCCUCCUUCGGGCGGUGAUGGGUGAAACGGUGAGGUAAGAGCUCACCGGCACCGGUGGUAACAUACGGUGGCCAGGCAAACUCCUCGUGGUGCAAGACCAAAUAGGGAAGCGUGUUUCGGGCGGCCCGCCCGACGUCGGCCUCGGCCGACAACGUUUCCGGGUAGGUCGCUUGAGCCGUUCGGUAACGAUCGGCCUAGAUGAAUGAUCGUCAACGUUCGAGUAGCGUUAGCUGCUGAGCGAAACAAAAUUCGGCUUAUAGGUAUGUCUCAUAG
RNAcentral lists this RNase P RNA (417 nucleotides) under Acidobacteriota bacterium. RNAcentral describes it as "Acidobacteria bacterium RNase P RNA component class A". It matches the Rfam family "Bacterial RNase P class A". Rfam says of the family: Ribonuclease P (RNase P) is a ubiquitous endoribonuclease, found in archaea, bacteria and eukarya as well as chloroplasts and mitochondria. Its best characterised activity is the generation of mature 5'-ends of tRNAs by cleaving the 5'-leader elements of precursor-tRNAs. Cellular RNase Ps are ribonucleoproteins. Lineage: Bacteria; Pseudomonadati; Acidobacteriota. The record is from RNAcentral.